RNAcentral lists this unclassified non-coding RNA (204 nucleotides) under uncultured Sebacina. Its description in RNAcentral is "sequence contains ITS2". Lineage: Eukaryota; Fungi; Basidiomycota; Agaricomycetes; Sebacinales; Sebacinaceae. The record is from RNAcentral.
UACUCUCACACUCUCUGAUCCUUUGGAUUCGGGGAGCGGUGGACUUGGGCGUUUGCUGCUUUGCUUGUGGCUCGCCUCAAAUGCGUCAGUGCACCUCUCGGUUGGACAUAGUACGGCGUGAUAAGUGUCUUCGCCGGCACCUCGAAAGAGGGUGGCCGAUUGGGAGCUCUGUGCUUUCAAACCGUCUUCGGACAAUCUCUGACA